GACGAACGCUGGCGGCGUGCUUAACACAUGCAAGUCGAACGAUGAAGCUGGAGCUUGCUCUGGCGGAUUAGUGGCGAACGGGUGAGUAACACGUGAGAAAUCUGCCCUUGACUCUGGGAUAACUGCGGGAAACUGUAGCUAAUACCGGAUACUUUCCCUGGUGGGCAUCCACUGGGGAAGAAAGAAUUUCGGUCAAGGAUGAUCUCGCGGCCUAUCAGCUUGUUGGCGAGGUAAUGGCUCACCAAGGCGACGACGGGUAGCCGGCCUGAGAGGGUGACCGGCCACACUGGGACUGAGACACGGCCCAGACUCCUACGGGAGGCAGCAGUGGGGAAUAUUGCACAAUGGGCGCAAGCCUGAUGCAGCAACGCCACGUGAGGGAUGAAAGCCUUCGGGUUGUAAACCUCUUUUAGCAGGGAAGAAGCGAAAGUGACGGUACCUGCAGAAAAAGCACCGGCUAACUACGUGCCAGCCGCCGCCGUAA
This 484-nucleotide ribosomal RNA is filed under the name uncultured bacterium. Its description in RNAcentral is "partial 16S ribosomal RNA". It matches the Rfam family "Bacterial small subunit ribosomal RNA", at positions 28 to 523 of the family's 1533-position model. The record is from RNAcentral.